CUGGCCCGGCCCGGCCCGGCCAAGUCACACAGCCGAGGCCGAGGGCCGAGGUCCCCCAUGGCACAUAGGUGCGUGCAGGCCAGGCAGGCUGUCAACUUCACCUGAAAGUUUAAAAAAAAUACUUUGUCCCUGGCGGUCUCAGGCAAUUACUCAUUAUGAUUAGUUCUAUGCUGGGCCUGGCCCAAUCACAUACACAGCAGAGGGCCGAGGUCCCGCCCUUGGGUCUCGGCUGUCAAUCAGUCACGUCACGUCACUUAUUGACACUGACAGAAAAAUGGAGAAAAAACGGAAAGGAGGCGCGGAGAAAGUCCGAGAUAAAAAGAGAAAAGCCCUAGAGGCAAACUCUGCAACAUGUGCUAAAAUAUCGGACAUGUUUGCCGCGACAGCUGGCCCGGCUUCAUUAGCACCUGCGACGGUGGAAAUUGCGGCGGCGGAGGCUGAGGAGGAUGUCGGUGAUGAUGGGGACGGAGAGGUGACUGAAUGGCGGCCGAGGCCAAGCGCAGAGAUGGGUGGCGCUGGCGGCGGCCCGGCCCCGGGGCCGAGCUCAGCCUCAGACGAAGUGGCGGCGGUAAGAAGUUGAAAUUUAAGUUUGUGUUGAUAAAGAAAUAUUUGUUAAGCUAGAUUCCUAAACUUUAACACAGUAUGUAGUUUCCUAACAGUUAGCUCCUGCGUUAUAACAACAUGUUGUACAGAGUAAUCUAGACUGAGCCCGGUCAAAGUGGCUAUUUUAGCUAACACAACAGUUAGCCCACUAAACAUUUGCUAGCUUUUCUUUGGGGAGUUAAAUAGCUCUGUUGACUGUGUAUUGAAAGAGCAUCACUUUGCUAUUGCUAUUUGAACAACAUUAAUGUCAGGAAGCUGUCAGUGUUUAAUUGCUUUAUUAAUUUAUUAGGCUUUAUGGGUAAACAGCUUUUUUGGGACAUGAAAACAUAGAUAAAACUUGUUUGUGAGCCAGCUUAAUAAACAAAAUUUAGACAAACAUGUAUUCCCUGGAGAAAACAUGUGUUCUAAUAUUUCUUUUGUGUGUGUGUGUGUGUGUGCGCUAUGAGUAGACUUUGUGUCCAAUUUACAGUGUUAUUUUAGCUUGCUUGCUAUUAUGUUAUAGUUUGCAGGUGUUAUAGCUUACAGUUAUUAUUUAUUAUCAUGUAAUAGUGAAAUAUUGCUAUUUCUAAUUGCUAAUAAUGAUUAUUCAUUAGUAGGUAACCAGAGAAAUAACACUAGUGAAAUUAAUGCUCCUGUCUCUCUCUCUUUCUCUAUGUUUAGUCAAGUCAGACUGUUGGAGUAGGAGUGGAGGAGUCACAGGAAGAUCAGGCAGUUGUAGACUAUUUUAGCCGCCCUCAUUCCACAAAAAGGCAGGAAUUCUUUAAGUUUCACCCACAGCAGAAUGCCACAAACCCUGUCAUCCAGAGGCUCUUCACAAGAACGGACGACAUGGCAUGGAAAUGGCUGACUUAUAGUGAUGAACGUAAUGCUUUAUUUUGUUUUCUUUGCCUUGCUUUUAGCAAGCCCAAUGACCCAAGUUCUUUCAUUGGAGGCAUGACAGACUGGAGGCAUGUGCACCAAAGAAUAGAGGAGCAUGAGAGAGGCAUGGCACAUAGACAGUGUGCUGAGGCAUAUGUAUUAAACUGCUCCAGAGCAAGUGUUGAUCACCUCCUUGAGGGAAGACAGCUGAAAGGACACCGUGAGCAGGUGAAGAAGAGACGUCAGGUGUUGGAACGUGUGGUGGAGGUUGUGAGAGUCUUAGGGAAGAGAGGCUUAAGCUACAGGCAGGAGCACAAUGAAGCUGCGUACACCUUGGACAUCAACAGUCUCGACCAUGGCAAUUUCCUAGAACUUAUUAUAUUGUUGGGGAAAUAUGAUGUGUGUUUAAAGGAGCACCUCAGCAGUGUAAUUGAGAAAAGCAAGCAGAUCCAUGCUUCAGGCACACAAGGCAGAGGCUCUCUCAUUACCCUCCUGUCCAAAACAACUGUAGAUGCAGUAAUCGAUGCUAUCAAGCAUUUAAUUCAAGAGAGCAUCUCAGCAGACAUCAAAAAAGCCGGAAUGUAUUCUGUGCAGCUCGACACAACACAAGAUGUUACAGGGAGAGAGCAGUGUUCUGUGAUUUUGAGGUUUGUGACGGAUGCAGUCCAUGAAAGGCUGGUUGCAGUCGUACAAUGCAGCACAACUACAGGACAGUCGUUCGUGACGCUGUUAACAGAAGUCCUUGAGAGUCUGCAAUUGGACAUAGGCCUGUGCAUUGGAAACGCCACAGAUGGAGCCUCUAAUAUGCAGGGUCAAUACAGAGGUUUCUCUGCAUUAAUGGCAUCCAAAAACCCCACCCAUCAGCAUGUGUGGUGCUAUGCACAUGUCUUGAACCUUGUAUUGUCCGAUACCACCCAUAGCGUCAUUGAAAGUGGAUCACUAUUUGACCUGCUGAACGACAUUGCCGUAUUCAUCAGGGACUCAUACACAAGAGUGAGUGUGUGGGAGACCGAGAGCCAGGACGAGAGGCACAAACGCAUCUCAACAAUUGGAGAGACGAGAUGGUGGGCUAAACAUCAUGCCCUGAGGAAAGUUUUUGGAAACUUUGGCAGACCUGAUGGCGGCCUUUUUGUUGAAGUGGUGUCCACACUUUCUGCCAUAAUGAAGCUGAAGUCACUUGCAUCAAAUGCAAGAAACAAAGCCAGAGGAUACAGAGACGGCUUACUUCGAUACGAAACUGUGCUCACAGCUCAGUUAUUCCUCCGGGUAUUUGAGUUCACCUCACCACUGUCAAAAUACCUACAGACCGGAGGAAUGGACAUCCUCUCUGCACAUAGGAUGGUCACCACAACACAUGAUUCACUUACAAAGAUAGCAAGAGAUUUCCCGGCCGUCAAAGAUGCAGCUGACUGUUUUGUCCAUUGGGCAAAUGAAAAGCUAGAGGAGCAGGAUGAUCUAGAUUUGGAAGUGGAGGCAGCACUACCUCAGAAAAGGCUAAAGAAGAAGAAAGUCUUGCCAGGAGAGAUGGCCCAGGAUGAAAGCCUCAGUGAUUCAGAGAAGGCCUAUGAGGUCAAUGUUCACCACCAGAUCCUGGAUACAGCUGUUGAGGCCAUGCACCACAGAUUCCUCACUCAUGGCACUCUGUAUGCAGAUUUAUCCCUCCUACAUCCCAAAAACUUCCCCCUCAUCCAGACCAGUGGCGGUGCACUCCCUGUAUCUGCACUUCAAGAACUCAGCAAGUGUCUAGUUGUGUAUGACAGCAGGGCAACUGUUACAGAUCUACAGAUUGAACUCAGAAACUUGGCACAGCAAUGGGACAGGCUGGUACAAUCACAAUUGGAUAACUACGCAACUAAAGCAGUUGAAGAGGAAUCAGAUGGCCAAGAAGAGAUGGAAAUAAUAAGCAAAACCUGUGUGUCUUGCAAAGAGUGCCCCCUGUGCUGCUACAAAAUCCUUCUCAGGUUUAACAUGCUGACUCACGCAUAUCCGCUACUUGGGUUGGCAUACAAGUUUCUGCUAACCCUGUCAAUAACUCAGGUAGCCUGUGAGCGGUCAUUUUCCACCCUUCGCUACAUCAAAAACCGACUGAGGAGUUGCCUGUCUGCCAGCAAACUGGAAGCCUUCAUGUUGAUGGCCAUUGAAAAGGAUGUCCUUGUGUCCCUUGAAACUGACACAGUGAUUGACAGAGUUGCAGAGAAGAGCGAAUCAAUGAAGAAACUGCUUUUAUAAGGUGAGAUUUAUGAUAAAUAAAUACAUUUGUGUUAAAUUAGUGGAUUUAAUAAAAAAUGUUGACAGAAAAUAAUGUUGUUAUUGCUUUGCUCUCUGCUCUCCUCCUCUCUCAGGGUGCCCUUGCUGUUUUCAGUUGCUCAAGUUCCUGCUCAUCCAAUUUCAUUGCCUUGCUACAUAUUUGUUCUUGUGGACUAUUGGAGGGCCAUUCAACAUUUUCUCAACCAGUAUGUAUAUCAGACUGUUGUCUAGCUCUAUUUAUUUUUUUAGUCAUCAGUCCUGUCCUGCUAUAAUGCAAUUGGUUUGUAUCACUCACUUUUUGUGUCUGUCAAACUCUUUUUUUUAAGGCUGCCCUGUCCCCCAGGGGUGUUCCAGGGAUGUGCAUUUCAUUGGUGUGGACUUCACAGGCAUUCUUCAAAUUUGUAAGUUUACAAUACUGUUGUUUUGUGUUCUUGCUGGCAUCCACCUGGAUGGUCAUAAAGCCUACUACUUUUACAGAGUGACUGUAAUGAAUGCAACUAUCCAUUAUUGUAUUACUUUAAAGACACCAAUACUAUCAAUGUAAAUUUUUUGAAACAUUCAAAUUUUCACUGUUCUCUUGACCCACCUGGCCUCUCUUUCUCUCCCCUUAGGUAAUUUUUGGAGUGAAGGAUUGCCUUCCCCUGAUGUGGAGUUCACGUGUGUUCUUUUUGUUUCAUUGUGAGUUUACUAAAUAGCUCUUAUUUUGAUUAUAGAAGAGACAGUAUCAGAUGAAUCUAUCAUAUCUGACUGCUCCUUUCUGUCUCCCUCAGAGCACCAAGGUCCAUGCAGCCUUUUGUCUCAGCAUAUGGUGCCACUUUGACUUACUGUGUUAUAAUUUGGUGUGUUCUAGUUAGUGUAAAUAAGAUAAUACAUAUAUUGUGUAUACUUCCUGUUGUUGUUGUUCUCUGUUCUUGCAUUUUUUGCUGACUGUGAGACGGUUCAAACUGUACAUAUUAUAAGCAUUAGUCAUUUCAGAGGAGAUUUGACCUAGCUGCAAAACCUCCAUUGUGCCCAAACACAAAUGCAGAACCCUCUCUUCUUCAAAGUCCUGUAAUCUGCCUUGUUUUUUUGAGUGUAAACAUUUUGUAAGCGUCUAAUCACGAGGAUCUAAUAGUUUUUUUAAUCUCCACUCCUGUUUUUACAUGUGGCCAUUGAAAGAACAAAAGGUUAU
Hypomesus transpacificus is the source of this 4879-nucleotide RNA transcript. RefSeq lists it as uncharacterized. The record is from RefSeq and is a predicted model, not a curated record. Lineage: Eukaryota; Metazoa; Chordata; Actinopteri; Osmeriformes; Osmeridae. The transcript has 2 exons.